Molecule: ribosomal RNA, 286 nt
Filed under: uncultured bacterium
Lineage: Bacteria
Description: partial 16S ribosomal RNA
Rfam family: Bacterial small subunit ribosomal RNA
Source: RNAcentral
UACCUACGGGGCGCAGCAGUAGGGAAUUUUCGGCAAUGGGCGAAAGCCUGACCGAGCAAUGCCGCGUGAGUGAAGAAGGCCUUCGGGUUGUAAAGCUCUGUUGUAAAGGAAGAACGGAUGGCAUAGGGAAUGAUGCCAUUGUGACGGUACUUUACGAGGAAGUCACGGCUAACUCCGUGCCAGCAGCCGCGGUAAUACGGAGGAUGCGAGCGUUAUCCGGAUUUAUUGGGUUUAAAGGGUGCGUAGGCGGAUCGUUAAGUCAGUGGUCAAAUUGAGGGGCUCAACC